CGGGCACAUUCAUGACUAAAUGAGGAAAGUGAAGAAUUGGAGUUUCCAUGCCCUCAAUGUGGUGCUGAAUAUGCUGGAUUCCUGUGCAACCCUAACACUGUCCACCUACAAUGCCAUGCAUGUGGAGGAAUGAUGCCUUCCAGAAAUGAUAUUGGUGUACCACAACACUGUUUAGGAUGUGAUCGGGCAUUUUGUGGUGCUUAUUGGCAUACACAAAGAUUUGGUGGAAGUGACUCUCA
Molecule: long non-coding RNA, 239 nt
Organism: Vitis vinifera (wine grape)
Lineage: Eukaryota; Viridiplantae; Streptophyta; Magnoliopsida; Vitales; Vitaceae
Exons: 3
Source: RefSeq, a predicted model, not a curated record